Long non-coding RNA from Oxyura jamaicensis (ruddy duck), 178 nucleotides. RefSeq lists it as uncharacterized. The record is from RefSeq and is a predicted model, not a curated record. The transcript is spliced from 3 exons. Lineage: Eukaryota; Metazoa; Chordata; Aves; Anseriformes; Anatidae.
UUGACACCAUCUCCCACAGCAUCCUCGCAGCUAAACUGAGGAAGUGUGGUCUGGACGAUCGGGUAGUGAGGUGGACUGUGAACUGGCUGAAGGAAAGAAGCCAGAGGGUUGUGGUCAAUGGGACAGAGUCGAGUUGGAGUCCUGUAUCUAGUGGACUAGCAGAAGGGUUAUAUGUCGA